RNAcentral lists this ribosomal RNA (449 nucleotides) under uncultured bacterium. RNAcentral describes it as "partial 16S ribosomal RNA". It matches the Rfam family "Bacterial small subunit ribosomal RNA", at positions 29 to 523 of the family's 1533-position model. The record is from RNAcentral.
AACGAACGCUGGCGGCAUGCCUAACACAUGCAAGUCGAACGAGAUCUUCGGGUCUAGUGGCGCACGGGUGCGUAACGCGUGGGAAUCUGCCCUUUGGUUCGGAAUAACAGUUGGAAACGACUGCUAAUACCGGAUGAUGACGAAAGUCCAAAGAUUUAUCGCCAGAGGAUGAGCCCGCGUAGGAUUAGCUAGUUGGUGUGGUAAAGGCGCACCAAGGCGGCGAUCCUUAGCUGGUCUGAGAGGAUGAUCAGCCACACUGGGACUGAGACACGGCCCAGACUCCUACGGGAGGCAGCAGUGGGGAAUAUUGGACAAUGGGCGAAAGCCUGAUCCAGCAAUGCCGCGUGAGUGAUGAAGGCCUUAGGGCUGUAAAGCUCUUUUACCCGGGAUGAUAAUGACAGUACCGGGAGAAUAAGCUCCGGCUAACUCCGUGCCAGCCGCCGCGGUAA